This is a long non-coding RNA of Oryctolagus cuniculus (rabbit), 555 nucleotides long. RefSeq lists it as uncharacterized. Lineage: Eukaryota; Metazoa; Chordata; Mammalia; Lagomorpha; Leporidae. The record is from RefSeq and is a predicted model, not a curated record.
UAGGGUUCAGUCUGGCAGGGGCCUGCCACCCGGGGCUCCUGCCGGAGCCAAAGUGGCAACCGCGACAGCCCUGGCAGGCGCCGGUGACCACCGAGCCAGUCCAGCUCUCUGCUGUGGCCUGGGAAAGCAGUAGAAGAUGGUCCAAGUCCUUGGGGCCCUGCACCUGCAUGGGAGACCUGGAAGAAGCUCCUGGCACCUGGCUUCAGAUCCAUACAGCUCCGGCCAUUGCAGCCAACUGCCAUCAUUAAUACCUUAGUGUGUUGGGGACAGCGCUGUGGUGCAGUGGAUUAAAGCCCUGGCCUGAAGUGCCAGCAUCCCAUAUGGGCACCAGUUCAAGUCCUGGCUGCCCCUCUUCUGAUCCAGCUCUCUGCUGUGGCCUGGGAAAGCAGUGGAGGAUGGCCCAAGUCCUUGGGCUCCUGCACCCGCGUGGGAGACCCAGAAGAAGCUCCUGGUUCCUGACUUCGGAUCGGCACAGCUCCAGCUGUUGUGGCCAACUGGGGAGUGAACCAGCGGAUGGAAGACCUCUCUCUCUCUCUCUUUCUACCUCUCUAACUC